This 72-nucleotide transfer RNA is filed under the name Sphaerodactylus townsendi. Its description in RNAcentral is "tRNA-Ala". It matches the Rfam family "tRNA". From Rfam's summary of the family: Transfer RNA (tRNA) molecules are approximately 80 nucleotides in length. Their secondary structure includes four short double-helical elements and three loops (D, anti-codon, and T loops). Further hydrogen bonds mediate the characteristic L-shaped molecular structure. tRNAs have two regions of fundamental functional importance: the anti-codon, which is responsible for specific mRNA codon recognition, and the 3' end, to which the tRNAs corresponding amino acid is attached (by aminoacyl-tRNA synthetases). tRNAs cope with the degeneracy of the genetic code in two manners: having more than one tRNA (with a specific anti-codon) for a particular amino acid; and 'wobble' base-pairing, i.e. permitting non-standard base-pairing at the 3rd anti-codon position. Lineage: Eukaryota; Metazoa; Chordata; Lepidosauria; Squamata; Sphaerodactylidae. The record is from RNAcentral.
GGGGUUGUGGCUCAGUGGAAGAGCAUCUGCUUGGCAUGUAGAAGGUCUGAGGUUCAAACCCUGGCAUCUCCA